UCAUGCUAGGAAUCCUCUGAGA
RNAcentral lists this microRNA (22 nucleotides) under Heligmosomoides polygyrus. RNAcentral describes it as "hpo-miR-10075a-3p". Lineage: Eukaryota; Metazoa; Nematoda; Chromadorea; Rhabditida; Heligmosomidae. The record is from miRBase by way of RNAcentral.